This 395-nucleotide ribosomal RNA is filed under the name uncultured bacterium. Its description in RNAcentral is "bacterial SSU rRNA". It matches the Rfam family "Bacterial small subunit ribosomal RNA", at positions 358 to 770 of the family's 1533-position model. The record is from RNAcentral.
GGAAUCUUAGACAAUGGGCGCAAGCCUGAUCUAGCCAUGCCGCGUGAGUGAUGAAGGCCUUAGGGUCGUAAAGCUCUUUCGCCAGAGAUGAUAAUGACUGUAUCUGGUAAAGAAACCCCGGCUAACUCCGUGCCAGCAGCCGCGGUAAUACGGAGGGGGUUAGCGUUGUUCGGAAUUACUGGGCGUAAAGCGAGUGUAGGCGGUUUGCCGUGUCUGCUGUGAAAUCUCCCGGCUCAACUGGGAGGGUGCGGCGGAAACUGGCAGGCUAGAGUGCGGAAGAGGAAAGUGGAAUUCCUGGUGUAGCGGUGAAAUGCGUAGAUAUCAGGGGGAACACCUGUGGUGAAGACGGCUUUCUGGACCGCCACUGACGCUGAGACUCGAAAGCGUGGGGAGCA